AUUGAGAGCUUGCUUUUGAUUAUUUUAGCGGCGGACGGGUGAGUAACGUGUGGGUAACCUGCCUUUUACUGGGGAAUAAUCGUUGGAAACGACGACUAAUACCGCAUACGGUUCUUGGAAGGCAUCUUCUAAGAAAGAAAGGAUUUAUUCGGUAAAAGAUGGGCCCGCAUCUGAUUAGCUAGUUGGUGAGAUAAUAGCCCACCAAGGCAACGAUCAGUAGCCGACCUGAGAGGGUGACCGGCCACAUUGGGACUGAGACACGGCCCAAACUCCUACGGGAGGCAGCAGUGGGGAAUAUUGCACAAUGGGCGAAAGCCUGAUGCAGCAACGCCGCGUGAAGGAAGACGGUUUUCGGAUUGUAAACUUCUAUCAAUAGGGAAGAAAGAAAUGACGGUACCUAAAUAAGAAGCCCCGGCUAACUACGUGCCAGCAGCCGCGGUAAUACGUAGGGGGCAAGCGUUAUCCGGAAUUACUGGGUGUAAAGGGAGAGUAGGCGGCAAGGUAAGCGAUAUGUGAAAGCCUUAGGCUUAACUUAAGGAUUGCAUAACGAACUAUCUAGCUAGAGUACAGGAGAGGAAAGCGGAAUUCCUAGUGUAGCGGUGAAAUGCGUAGAUAUUAGGAAGAACACCAGUGGCGAAGGCGGCUUUCUGGACUGAAACUGACGCUGAGGCUCGAAAGCGUGGGGAGCGAACAGGAUUAGAUACCCUGGUAGUCCACGCUGUAAACGAUGAGUGCUAGGUGUCGGGGAGGAAUUCCCGGUGCCGGAGCAAACGCAAUAAGCACUCCACCUGGGG
This 794-nucleotide ribosomal RNA is filed under the name uncultured bacterium. RNAcentral's name for it is "bacterial SSU rRNA". It matches the Rfam family "Bacterial small subunit ribosomal RNA", at positions 71 to 878 of the family's 1533-position model. The record is from RNAcentral.